RNAcentral lists this ribosomal RNA (424 nucleotides) under uncultured Caryophanaceae bacterium. Its description in RNAcentral is "bacterial SSU rRNA". It matches the Rfam family "Bacterial small subunit ribosomal RNA", at positions 358 to 774 of the family's 1533-position model. Lineage: Bacteria; Bacillati; Bacillota; Bacilli; Caryophanales; Caryophanaceae. The record is from RNAcentral.
GGAAUCUUCCACAAUGGACGAAAGUCUGAUGGAGCAACGCCGCGUGAGUGAAGAAGGUUUUCGGAUCGUAAAACUCUGUUGUAAGGGAAGAACAAGUACAGUAGUAACUGGCUGUACCUUGACGGUACCUUAUUAGAAAGCCACGGCUAACUACGUGCCAGCAGCCGCGGUAAUACGUAGGUGGCAAGCGUUGUCCGGAAUUAUUGGGCGUAAAGCGCGCGCAGGCGGUCCUUUAAGUCUGAUGUGAAAUCACGUGGCUCAACCACGUGCGGUCAUUGGAAACUGGAGGACUUGAGUGCAGAAGAGGAAAGUGGAAUUCCAAGUGUAGCGGUGAAAUGCGUAGAGAUUUGGAGGAACACCAGUGGCGAAGGCGACUUUCUGGUCUGUAACUGACGCUGAGGCGCGAAAGCGUGGGGAGCAAACA